Molecule: long non-coding RNA, 1736 nt
Organism: Larimichthys crocea (large yellow croaker)
Lineage: Eukaryota; Metazoa; Chordata; Actinopteri; Sciaenidae
Exons: 3
Source: RefSeq, a predicted model, not a curated record
GGCGUUCUGUCAGACUCGUAUCCGAUGAGAGGCGUACAGAUGGCAUCAGCGAUCUGCCCGACCAGCAGCAGCACACCUGCAGCACAGACAGACAACAGCUGGUCCAGAGGAUCAAGUGAGAUAAUUCGUGGCUCUACCUGUGGAGAUGAAGCCAGGAACACCAGCAUCUUCCACAACAUCACCUCAUGAAGGACAAUGGAACAAAAAUAGUUAGGAACUCCUCCUCCUCCUGCAUGAGACUGUGGUGGGCCUAAACAGCUCCCACCAUGUAAGAAGGAGCUCUACCACAGAUCAGACAUUCCCAUGAGCCUCAGUUGUACUUUGUGUACUAUGCUAACAUACUAAACUGAGAUGAACAGCUUGGUAACGUCAGACUUCAAAACAACUGCUGCAGCUUCAGUCUUCACUGAACAUUUUCAUGCUGCAUUCAUUUCUGGUGUUACAGAUCAAAUCAACAUUACACUUUAAUCUCAACUGAUUGUUCACUUUAUGCAUGAACUGUUCUGAUGAAACUGAAAGUUAAAAAUAUAUGCUUCUGUUUCCACCUUGAGGGAUUUAUACUGUUCAUUAUCCCCUGAAAUAAAGAUCAGCUGUGGUUUUGUUUGGUUGUUUUUUAAUGGAGUUAUCCGCCUUUCCAUCCUCCAACCCAGAGAGAAAGAGGAAAAAAAACAAAACAAAACAACAGAAAUUUUAAAAUACAAGUUAUUAAAAAAAAUACAUUUUGAGGAACACACUCGAAACUACAAAACACAAACUUUUUGAACAACUCAAAAAGACAGAAAAAUAACAGGUUCCAAAUCAUAGACAGUCUUUUUAGUUACAAAUUAAAACAGGAAAAAAGCAUAGUUUUCACAUAAACAUCUUCUUUAAGUUUUGAUUCUGGUGGUUGUGAGGUUUUCCUCUGAGGGUGAACGAUUCGAAGAAAUACACCGAGCCCGAUCCGCUGCAGGAAAUAGACCGAGCUGCUCGUGUUGUACUUCCAUCGACCCUGGGGGAUAAAAACUUUAUAGACUAUGUGCAAGAGCUGCAUCUUUGUAUCCAUGAAGUCUCUUUGUGAUGAGCUCGAGAAAAGUGUGCAGUGUGUUUGUACAUAUAUGUAUCAGUGUGUGUGUGUGUGUGUGUGUGUGUGUGUGUGUGUGUGUGUGUGUGUGUGUGUGUGUGUGUGUGCGCGCGCGCAUGUGUGGUCCGACGGUCUCAUUGCCUCUCGGCCUUUUGUUGUCCUCUCUUCUGUGUUUCCUCAGAAACACACUUCUCUCUCCUCUGAACCAGUCAGUAAGGAAGAAAAACAAACAAACAAACAAACAAACAAAAACAGAGCGAGGCCAAUCCGUCAGCUGGAUCCAGUUUGUCGGCCAAUCAGCUCGCCCGUAGUCCAUCAACUUGUCUCUUGUUUCCCACAGCAGUUUGUGUUGAUCCAGUUUCAGUUCAGUUUGUAAAAUACAUGAAGACUCCACCACUGGUCAGCUAGUCCACAUUUAAAGCUCCGAGGUGGAACAGCAAACACAUGUUACUCUGUCUGUCCGUCUGGCACCAGGACCAGGAGAAACCAGUAGAUCAGCUUAGCAAACAUAUCUUACGCCGCUCGGUGGUCCAGCCAGUCCAGCCGACCCAAGGUAGACUACAGGACCCCCGACAGCAGAGGAGGAGGGUCAGAGGGGGAGGGUGAAGAGAGGGUUAUAUGAAGAGGAGAGAGAGAGAGAGAGAGAGAGAGAGAGAGAGAGAGAGAGAGAGAGAGA